AGUAAUCAAUGUUCCAAUACAAAUUUGAAUAGUGGAGAUCAUUAGAAGAUAAUUAGAAGAUAGUGUUUUUGUGUGUCUGUAGGUCAGUCUUGCAGGCCUGCAGUUCUGCUCUCUGUGUCCUGAUCUUCCUGACCACUACACUAAGUACUGUAUCAGGUGGUUCUCCAGUGAAGGUGAAGCUUCAUGACUCUGCUACUCUGUCCUGCUCUGUGAGAUGCUCUGGUUUAGCGAGAUGGACUGUGUUCCACAAACGCAGUGACACUCUGGCUGAGUGUGAUCAGACUUCAUGUAGAUCAGUGAAGGAGGGAUAUCAGAUGAUCCACGAUGAGUACCUGAAGGGGAAUCUCUCUCUCAUCACCACCGAUGCUGAUUUCAGUAAGAGAGGCUGGUACACGAGUGACUGUGAUGAUAAAGACAUCUGUGAUGUGCAUCUUCAAAGUGAGCCCUUGAAAUCUACAGUUCAGGUAAGGCCUGGUGAAUCUCUGGUGCUGAGGUUAGAUGUAUCAGAUCCAGUGAAGGUGCUUUAUAAUAGCACAGAUGCAGCUGGACCAUCCAGUGGUCAGAUCUGA
Long non-coding RNA from Pygocentrus nattereri (red-bellied piranha), 569 nucleotides. The record is from Ensembl. Lineage: Eukaryota; Metazoa; Chordata; Actinopteri; Characiformes; Serrasalmidae.